This is a long non-coding RNA of Alligator sinensis (Chinese alligator), 723 nucleotides long. RefSeq lists it as uncharacterized. The record is from RefSeq and is a predicted model, not a curated record. Lineage: Eukaryota; Metazoa; Chordata; Crocodylia; Alligatoridae. The transcript is spliced from 2 exons.
UCUAAAGGUGCUUUCUGAGAUGGAGUGAAAUGGAUGAAACAAAAGUGACUUAAAGAUGUUUCAACCCAUAGGGCUGAUCGCCAUCAGGAAAAAGCAAACCCUUGGCCACAGUGAACCCUUGGCCACAACCAACCAACAGAAAGUGUCACGGGUACUUCAGCUUUCUGAGAAGUAAGUGUACUCUUUAUCAGAAAUCCUUAUCACUGUUGUCCCCUCCCACUCUUCCACAUCAGUUUUGAAAUCAGCAAGCCGAUCGCCGAUUAGAGACUUUCCAUGACGUGGCAAAGGACACCAUAUAGGGAUUCAAUAGACAGCUGAUAUGCUUCAGCUCUUGCUCUGAUCAACUUUGCAUUCUAUUGAGAAAUUUUGGCUUUUAUUGAAAAAACAAAAACAAAAAGCAAUCUGGUCUACAAUGUGACUGCCACUUUAACAGCAAAUCUAUUAUAAUAAAUAAGUUUUUUAUUAAUUAAAGAUAAUCAUGGUAUUAAAGUGCUUUGAGCAAAGAUAUGAACACAAACUUGGUUUAAAAAUGACAGAAGAAAGGACUUGGGAUUACCGGGAAAUGUAGUGCAGAAGAAGUGGACUAACUCCUUAUCUGUUGGCAAAGCAAUGCCCUGGUUUCAUAAGAGGCUCUGCUUAAUAUAUGAUACCCCACAGGUUAAGGAGAAUGCCACUUAUUUCACAGUUUAGUCUUUGGGUAUGGACAAAGGAAUAAAAAAAAAA